RNAcentral lists this non-coding RNA (20 nucleotides) under Arabidopsis thaliana (thale cress). The record is from RNAcentral. Lineage: Eukaryota; Viridiplantae; Streptophyta; Magnoliopsida; Brassicales; Brassicaceae. RNAcentral also lists the same sequence under 1 other name.
UCCAGCGAAACCACAGCCAA